Molecule: long non-coding RNA, 234 nt
Filed under: Elaeis guineensis (African oil palm)
Lineage: Eukaryota; Viridiplantae; Streptophyta; Magnoliopsida; Arecales; Arecaceae
Description: long non-coding RNA (EGUI_LNC081051)
Source: RNAcentral
CUACAUGGAUAAAAGAGGUCGUCGAUGACCUUAGGACGACGUGAAAAAGAAAAAGAAGAAAAGGAGGAAGAAAGAGGAAAGAAAAAUGAAGAAGUUCAACAGACAACUAUUCGACGCAAGAUGCAGACAAGGUAACAAAAUCUCCUUUUCAUUUUUCAACUAACAAGAUAUACGUUACAAGACCCGGUGGGUCAAGAAAAAAAAGAUAUACAUCAUUGCAAGUCUCGCGAACAC